Magnolia sinica is the source of this 2729-nucleotide long non-coding RNA. RefSeq lists it as uncharacterized. The transcript has 2 exons. The record is from RefSeq and is a predicted model, not a curated record. NCBI's taxonomy places the organism in Eukaryota, Viridiplantae, Streptophyta, Magnoliopsida, Magnoliales, Magnoliaceae.
CAAUGGCCUUAAUUCGUUCACUGUUGAAAGUCGUUUCCUUUACUGGGCCCACAUUGAGGUUUAUUCAUCAUCUAACCUGUUCAUGGGGUCACACAGACAUGGAUAAAGGGAAAACACAAUUUUCAGCUUGAUCCAAAACUUUUAGGGGCCCCAAGAAGUUUUUAACGGUAGGCGUUCGAUUCCCACUGUUUCCUGUGGUGUGGUCCACUUGAGCUUUGAAUCUGCCUCGUUUUUGGGCUCAUGCCUAAAUUCAGCAGGCAUAACAAAUGGGCGGAGUGGAUAAGCCACAUGCAUCAUGGUGGGGCCCACAUUUAUUUUGCAAAAUUUUAAAUUUAACUGUUAAAAAAGUAAACUGUCACGUCUGCAUUGGGAUAAUUACCUAGGUAAAUUAUUGUUACCCAUUUACGAGAUAAUUAUAGUUGAGCCGAAAAAUCAAACAGGCCCUCGGAGAGCCGUCAACACGGCAUGCUUUUGACAAUCCUCCUCGGUUAAUUCACCCCCUUCUUCAUUGAUGUCUAAGAGGUAAUUCAGGCAUGUUUUCCACAAGGCAAUUCUGGUGCUUUAGAAAUUCCUUUUUCCAUUCAUUUAACUUUCCUUUGAGCAUCUUGAGCUUUUGGGACAGCUGAUAGCCUGCAGUUCUAAAAUGCUGAAGGACGACCACCAAUUUUUAAUGGGAUCCCGGAAUCCUUCGACUUUCCGCCACAUAAGUUCAAACUAGAAGGGUUUGGGUCCCCAACUAUCUUCUACACCAUCUAAUAAUAUGGGGUGAUGAUCUGAAGUGGGUCUCGGGAGACCGCAUAAUGAAACGAGUGGAAAUUUGUUGACCCAAUCUGAUGACAACAGAAAUCUGUCCAAGCUGGAUUGAAUCGGCUUAACUCUCCCACUGGUCCAGCUGGUGAUUCUGUCCCCAUUCGACUUCUCGUGAACAAGUCUAAUAACGUUGAAGCCGCUACCCAUGCACCGUGGAUGACUGAACUGAGCACUGAUUGAAUUCAGCUCGGCCCAAAAUUAUAAUGGCAUAGUUUAUUGAAGAGGGCUUCAUCAUUUGCUAUGGUAGCAGAAAUAUUGUAUAAAACAUGAUCGAGGUUGAGAUCUCGACCUCAAUUGAGAUUUAGAUCUAUCUCAUAGUUUCCUCGUAGUUGCGGAAAUAUUCUAUGAAGCAUCUGGAAGAACCUGAAAGAACAACUUGUGAGUGAUCAAUUGUUUGCUGGUAAAUGAACUCUCAUUACCAUAUUUUUGUCCAUUUGUACGUGCGGAAUUAUGAUAGAUCUUGCAGCAAAGGUCCUUCAAUCAACAAGUGCAUUCAUGUUUACUGGCGUAUUUUUGUCAGCAUGCACACUUUCAAAUAUAUGCUGUUGUCAAGUCUGCAUCUAGAUACCCUUGGUUUUCAUGUUUUCUUCUUUUGGUUAUGUGAACCUUGUUGUCUCAUGGUUCAGAAGACCAUUGUCCUGGAACAGGGCAUGCAAUCAUGGCAUCCUUUUAACCUCCAACCAUUGCAUGGAUAUUUUCUCCCAUUUGCGAAUGUUUUAUCAUCUCCAAAACCAAAUGGAUGUGUAGAAUAAAAUCAUAGAUGGAUAUGGUUCUAUGACAUGCAUUUACUUCUUAAAAUCACAAGGUUACAGAUAGUCAGAGGCGGAGGUCUAUCAGAGGGCUAAGUUGGAUGUAAUAGGGUGGGUUUCCUGUAUUAAGGAUUUUGACCAAAGUGAUUACUCAUUUUAGUCCGGGCUUCGGGUGAUGGUGCUAGAAUCCGCGCUUUGGGCUUCUCACGUAUGGAAAUCUAUAUCAGCUUUAAGAGGAAAGGUCAGGGAAGGUUUUUCUUUCUCCUUGGGCGAUGAUGCCAGACUCAGAUUCUGGAAGGACCCUUGGUGUGAGAUCAUCCUUUGCACCUAGACUUUCCUACCUUGGCCAGUCUAGCGACCUCUGAAGAGGUGAAAAUGGCGGAUUGUUUUUCUGUUAGCAGCUCGUCGACAUCUUGGAUGGCCCCAUGUAGGAGGAACCUUUUAGAUUGUGAGAUGGAAGCGCUUUUAUCUCUCAUCGCACACCUUCGGUGUCUCCCAUGGGCAGGGCCGAUUCUAUGCUGUGGGUCAAUCAAAACUCGGGGCAUUUCUCAAUUAGCUCUUUUUAUAGAAUGCUAUACUCGGAAAUGACAAGCUUAGAUGGGGCUCAUGCAUAUCAUUUCUGGUCUUAUGGUGCGCUGCCUAAGGUUGCUGCUUUCACUAGGUUGGUAGACAGAAAAGUGUUGAUGAUUGAUAUCCUUCAGAAGCAUGGCACGACUAUCCCAAACGUGUGUUGCUAGUUUGAAGAAGAUGCCAAAUUCAUCAAUCAUCUCUUCAUAUUCUGUCCGUUCACAUUCAAAGUGUAGAUGUACUUCACAGCUUUAUUCGACAUGCUGUGGGUUAUGUCGUGUUCAGCUAGAGACCUCCUUCGGGCAUGGCAUGGUGGAGGUGUGGCAAAGAAGGAUAGGGCUAUCUGACAACUAAUUUUGCCUGCUGUAUGUUGGGCUAUUCUGGGGCGAUCAGAGUAUAAAAUGCUUUCGGGAUUCUUCAGGAUUGAGUGAGACCUUGGUGGACUCCAUCAAAGCGUCUAUUUCUGAAUGGGCUGCUCUCUUGAAUCUUGAGCCUGAUUGUAUUGAGUCAAUCUUAGGGUUGUGAUCCCUUUGGGUUCCUUGUAUUAUUUUCCUGUCUUGCUUGCAAGCGGGGCCUUAAUAAAAUUUCUAUUAUCCCUAUAUA